AGAAGUACGUCUGAAACUGUCCAACUUGAGUACGAGAGAGGAAAGUGGAAUUCCCAAUGUAGAGGUGAAAUUCGUAGAUAUUGGGAGGAACACCCGUGGCGAAGGCGACUUUCUGGAUCGAUACUGACGCUGAGACGCGAAAGCGUGGGAAGCAAACAGGAUUAGAUACCCUGGUAGUCCACGCUGUAAACGAUGGGAACUAGGUGUAGCGGGUAUUGAUCCCUGCUGUGCUGAAGCUAACGCAUUAAGUUCCCCGCCUGGGGAGUACGGUCGCAAGGCUAAAACCCAAAGGAAUUGACGGGGGCCCGCACAAGCGGUGGAGCAUGUGGUUCAAUUCGAUGCAACGCGAAAAACCUUACCUGGGUUUGACAUCCUUUGACAGUCCCUGAAAGGGGAUCUUCCCGAUUUAUCGGGACAAAGUGACAGGUGCUGCAUGGCUGUCGUCAGCUCGUGUCGUGAGAUGUUGGGUUAAGUCCCGCAACGAGCGCAACCCUUGUUUUUAGUUGCCAAUAUUAAGUUAGGCACUCUAAUGAUACUGCCCCGGUUAACGGGGAGGAAGGUGGGGAUGACGUCAAGUCCUCAUGGCCUUUAUACCCAGGGCUACACACGUGCUACAAUGGGCCAUACAAAGGGCUGCCACUCUGCAAAGAGGAGCUAAUCCCAAAAAGUAGUCCUAAGUUCGGAUUGGAGUCUGCAACUCGACUCCAUGAAGCUGGAAUCGCUAGUAACCGUGGAUCAGCAUGCCACGGUGAAUUCGUUCCCGGGCCUUGUACACACCGCCCGUCACACCACGAAAGUUGGUUGUACCAGAAGUUGUUAGGCUAACCCCCGAGCUUGUCGACGGGGAGGCAGACACCUAAGGUAUGGCUGGUGAUUGGGGUGAAGUCGUAACAAGGUAACCGU
RNAcentral lists this ribosomal RNA (903 nucleotides) under uncultured delta proteobacterium. Its description in RNAcentral is "bacterial SSU rRNA". It matches the Rfam family "Bacterial small subunit ribosomal RNA", at positions 617 to 1503 of the family's 1533-position model. The record is from RNAcentral. Lineage: Bacteria; Deltaproteobacteria.